AUGGCCACCACUGACCAAGCACUGCCCAGCCACCUGAUCUUUAUGCCCGUCUGGGACCCUCAGAGCUUUCUUAAAGGGAUUCCCAAAAGAACUCAUUUUAACACUUGGUUUUUGAUCAAUCAUUCCGUAAGCCUAUUUACACUAAUCACUGUUACCUCACAAGAGCCUAAAUAUGCACUGGGUUACCUCUGUUGUACGUUUCAAGUGAUUAUGCCACCAAACUUUGCAUCCAGUGUCUUCUGUUGUUCGUGUGGUCACAUCAGUCUAAUUUUACUUUUAUUGUUAGUUGCCUGACGUAGGAUAGUAUUUUAGAUUCUGAGUGAGAUUGUAACGAUUCACUUAUAUGCUUGUUGUAACUAUCUAAGUAUUUCAAGAGGGUAAAAAGGCUGAUUGGCACAGUAAUGUCCAGCUGAUGCACCAGACACUUAGGAUUUCCUUUCUCUGGACAGACAGUCAGAACCACUCUUGGAAGGGGAGGCACCACCUUGGGAGCUGAUUGCUCCUUUUGUCAGGUGGUUGGUAUGGGAAAAGAAAAUCUGCAGAAAGUUGUUUCCUCUGAAUGUGAAUUCUAAACUUGACAUUAGAUAGCUGCUCCAACAGUAUGAGAUUCCUCAGAAGUCACCAUAAAACUUAUUACCUUUUAUGAUCUGUUGAAUGUGAAAGAAAAUUUGUCUGGCUAUUGGUUUCAAGACCAAGAUGAAAAAACAGCCCUCCCAUGAUAUUACCCUGAAAACAUUUGAAUCCUUUCAGUCAGUGAAUAAUCGAACCCAAAAGGUUAUUAGCUAAUUCUUAUAGAAAAUUGUCCAAAUUAUCAUUCUUGGUAUCUUCUUGAGGUAAUGAAAUUCAUAGCUGUAGAAUCUAUUGUGCAUGUAUUUUUCAGCUUCACUGGGUCUUCCUCUACUUUCUGGCAUUUUGCAAACAUCAGUUUGUUCUCUUCUGAAGGUUAACACUUUUAUAGCUGAUCAUAUUCCAUGUCAAGCCUUUUUAUUUCUAGAGUAGGCCCAUUUUUAAAACCCUGACAUCAUGAGGCAGCAUUUCUACCCUCUGACAUAAACUUUUUAACUCAAUUGUGUCUUCCUUAACAUUCAGCAGCCAGGAUUUGGCUCACAGCUUCCUGGUCUGGAGGCCCCCAUGGUUUUUAUAAUGAGAGGAUAGUGUUUCUGAUUCAUAUUUCAUUCAAAGUAACCCACAUCCCAUUAGGGGUAAUUGAUGUUGCCCAGCCUGUUUUACUCUUUUCAGCUCUCACACUCUCUAGAGUCUAGAGGCAACUAUCUUUUGUGAAUAUGGUGACUCUCAAGUCACUGCCCUUUGUCUUAACUGGUCCUUUAGUUGCCUAUCACCUUAUAAAUAUAAUUUGGUUUACCUAAAAUACUCAGCUUUAUAAGAUUAUACAAGAGCUUGUUCCCAUUGAAUUGACAUUCACAAACUAGAGAUACUUAAUAUCAGUUUUAUUUGUUUCUGCAUGACAAAAUAUUCUGAGGCCAAUCUCUGUUCUUUUUAGCUCCUCAUUGAGAAAAAUUACCCUUUUAUUUUCAUGCCUUUUAUUUUCUGUCUCUUAGGCAUGUCCCUGGCCAUAAUGGAGGAAAAUUGAGUUAUCAUUAAUGUAAGGGAAAUAGGGUGAUAGACUUUUCACAGAUCUUGUUAUAGGGUUUUGAAAAUAUCAAUAAUGUCUACUAAUUCAUUUUCUCAUGAGUGCUCCUUACCCCUCAAAAAAAUAUGGUGUGGGCCAGGCAUGGUGGCUCAUGCCUGUAAUCCCAGAACUUUGGGAAGCCAAGGCAAGUGGAUCACUUGAGCUCAGGAGUUCAUGACCAGCCUGGACAACAUGUUGAAACCUUUUCUCUACAAAAAAAUACAAAAAGUUUGCCAGGUGUGGUGGUGCACCUGUGGUUCUAGCUACCCGGGAGGCUGAGGUGGGAGGAUUACUUGAGCCCAGGAGGUCCAGGCUGCAGUGAGCUGUGAACGCACCAUUGCACUCCAGCCUGGGUGACAGAGCAAAACCCUGUCUCAAGUAUAUGUAUAUAUACGGUGUGUAAGUCUGGCUUUAAUUUUAACUUAUGAGCAAUAUCCUUUCAUGCCUUUCACCCAUAGAUUUGCCUAAGAACUCAAUAAUUAUAUCUUUCUGUCUAGCAUCCAUCAAUUUACCUAACAUGACUGUAACCUUCUGUUUCAGUAGCAUAGCACCAAACUUCCAAAUUUUUGCAUUUUUUUUUUCCUGAAAGAAACACAUAGAUUACCUGGUCCAAGCUUCUCACUUUAUAGAUGUGAAAACUGAGGCCCAGAAUGCUGAAGUGACUUGAUUGAAGCGGCAGAUGAGUUGUCUCCAGACCAAGUUUCUCACCAACUCUUCAGCAUUUCAAUGUGACCAUUUAGAUUUUCAGGUGCCUGUCAUUUAUAAGCAAGUAUUCAAACAUUCUGACUUGGCAUUUCUGCCAAAUCCCUCAGAGGCCAGUUGUCCAAAGGGAUGGGCCAGUUACUCAGUUACCUCCAUUUUUAGCCUGCCAUAUAGCUUCUUCCUAAAUACCCUAGUAGGUUCUUGACAUGAAUCAUGAAAUGAUUCAGAUUUUAUUCUUGGGCAGAACAUAUGCAGCUUGUUACUCUCCGCAUCAUAUUAUAGUUACAUACUAUUGACAUAUGUUUCUCCUGCACUAGACAGUAAACACCUUAAGGCAGUGAUUCUUCAUGAUUAGUAUCUUAGAUUGUAGCAGGUACUUGGGAAAUCUUUGAAUAACUGAAUGAUUGAAAGACCCACCAGGGACAUAUUGGUAACCUCAUUGUAAUGAACUAUACGUCCUUUUAACUGUCCGGUAAACACAAGUACAGGUCAUUCAAAUGGUUUUGGCAACUGACAUCCAAAUGUAAAAAAGAGAAAUGUGAUCCAUGCCUGGUAUUAUAUACAAAACUUAACUCAAAAUGAAUCAGAUCUAAGUGUAAAACUUAAAACAACAAAACUUGUAAAAGAAAACAUAGGAGAAAAUCUUUAUGUCUGUAGGUGAGAUGAAGACUUCUUAGCUAUAACACCAAAAGUAUAGAAAAAAUAAUAAACCUUUUCAAAAUUAAAACAUCUGCUCUUCAAAAGAUACUGUCAAGAGAAUGAAAAAACAAGGUCAGGCGCGGUGGCUCAUGCCUAUAAUCCCAGCACUUCGGGCUGAGGCGGGCAGAUCAUUUGAGGUCAGGAGUUUGAGACCAGCCUGGCCAAUGUGGUGAAAAACCCCGUCUCUACUAAAAAUACAAAAAUUAGCCAGGCAUGGUGGUGGGCACCUAUAGUCCCAGCUGCUCAGGAGGCUGGAGAAUUGUUUGAACCUGGGAAGCAGAGUUUGCAGUGAGCCAAGAUGGGGCCACUGCACUCCAGACUGGGCAACAGAGUGAGACUUCAUCUCAACACAAACACACAAACAACGACGACAACAACCAAAACAACAACACAACAACAAAAGACAAGUGCACAAUAGAGGAAAAUAUCAUAAAACACGUAUCUGGUAAGUCCUUAAUACAAAGAACUCUCCAAACAAUAAUAAUAAAGCUAACAAUCCAAUUUUUCAAAUUGGCCAAUUUCAGGAGACUCUUCAGAAAAGAAGAUAUGUUGGUGGGAAGUAAGUACAUGAAAAUAUGUAAACAUCAUCAGUUAUGAGGGCAAUGCAAGUGAAAUGCAUUUGAAAAACCAUGAGCCUAGUGUGUAGGUCUAUUAGAAUGACUAAAAACAACAAUAAAUGCUGGCAAAGAUGUUGAGCAACUGUGACUCUCAUCCGUUCCUGGUGGGAAUGCAAAAUGGUAUAGCCACUUUUGAAAACCAUUUGACAGUUUUACAAAGUUCAAUAUACACUUACCACACGAUGCAGCAAUCCUACUCAUAAGCAUCAAGAAAGAGAAAGAAAAUUUAUGUUUUUACAGUAACCUGGAAUAGGAUGUUUAUAGUAGCUUUAUUCAUAAUCUCCAAAAACUGGAAACAAUGUUCUUCAACCAGUGAAUGGAUAAACAAACUCUAGUUCAUCCACGCAAUACAAUACUAAUCAGAAACGUUUAAAAAAGUAUUGACACACACAACAAAGUAGAUGAAUCUCGAGUUAAAUUAUGGUGAGCGAAAGCAUGCAGAUCCAAAAGGCUACACAGUGGAUUAUAUAUGGCAUUAAGGAAAAGGCAAAACAUAACAGAGAAAACUGAUCGGGAGUUGACAAGGACUGGGAAUUGGGGAGGGGCUUACCACAAAGAGACACAAAGGUAUUUUGGGGGGUGAUAAAAGUAUUAUGUGUCUUGAUUGUUGUAGCAGUUACAUAACUGUAUGCAUUUGUCAAAAUCUAUAGUACUGUACACUAGAAAGGUACAUUUUACUCCAUAUAAUUAUAUUCAACAAACCUGACUUUUUAAAAAAGUGUUUUUUUCUCCUUUGAUUAAUUAAAAACAUUUGAAUACCAGCCUUUCUAAAAUAAAGUGUCUUGGAUCGCUUUUUAAAGUGUUUUUGGUGUUUCUAGGUUCCUAAAUUUUGAGAAAUUCAUUUAAGUGUUAUUAAAAUUGGAACACCAGAACUGAGUGGAUGCCCCUCCACACCCCACCUGACCACCUAUCCUCAGACCUUGGCCAGAACCUUCAUUGCAUUCCACAUUUAUGAUUAUUCAAAUAGCUGUUAAAUAGUUAACACCCGGAACAUGUCUAUGGUUUGGAUAAGGCCAGAUAAUAUAAUCUUUACCAAGAAUAUACAACUUUAAAAAACAUGUAUACUUUGAGUGUACAAGACCCUAAAACAAUUUCAUGCCAAACACAGAGCUUGGCUUACAAAGACAAACCUGUUAAAGCUACUGCUACUGGUUGUGAACAAAAAGUGUAGCAAAGGUACAGAUAUCCCAUAUUUGUCUAGGAAGCUUUUUGAAUAUAGUAUGAAUUGAUGUUAAUAUAGGGGUAGGAAAAUAAGCAACAUGAAAAUGUUAACAAUGUUUACAUGAAAAGAAAAUUAUAUAAUGAAUUCACUAGCACUGCAAGUUCACAGGUUUUGUGAUCCCUCACCCUUUUUUUUUUAGAGUUGGAGUCUUGCUAUAUUGCCCAGGCUGGCCUCAGACUCCUGGGCUCAAGCGAUCCUCCUGCCUUAGCCUCCCGAGUAGCUGAGGCUACAGCCACAUGCCACCACCACAGCACCUCGCUGUUUUUGGUGCCUUGUAUUA
This 5150-nucleotide long non-coding RNA is filed under the name Macaca mulatta (Rhesus monkey). RNAcentral's name for it is "lncRNA (ENSMMUG00000050452.1)". Lineage: Eukaryota; Metazoa; Chordata; Mammalia; Primates; Cercopithecidae. The record is from RNAcentral.